RNAcentral lists this transfer RNA (76 nucleotides) under Armatimonadota bacterium. RNAcentral's name for it is "Armatimonadetes bacterium (hot springs metagenome) tRNA-Thr". It matches the Rfam family "tRNA". Rfam says of the family: Transfer RNA (tRNA) molecules are approximately 80 nucleotides in length. Their secondary structure includes four short double-helical elements and three loops (D, anti-codon, and T loops). Further hydrogen bonds mediate the characteristic L-shaped molecular structure. tRNAs have two regions of fundamental functional importance: the anti-codon, which is responsible for specific mRNA codon recognition, and the 3' end, to which the tRNAs corresponding amino acid is attached (by aminoacyl-tRNA synthetases). tRNAs cope with the degeneracy of the genetic code in two manners: having more than one tRNA (with a specific anti-codon) for a particular amino acid; and 'wobble' base-pairing, i.e. permitting non-standard base-pairing at the 3rd anti-codon position. The record is from RNAcentral. Lineage: Bacteria; Bacillati; Armatimonadota.
GCCGAUGUAGCUCAGUUGGUAGAGCAGGGCUUUCGUAAAGCUCAGGUCAAGGGUUCGAGUCCCCUCAUCGGCUCCA